Molecule: ribosomal RNA, 347 nt
Filed under: uncultured Smithella sp.
Lineage: Bacteria; Pseudomonadati; Thermodesulfobacteriota; Syntrophia; Syntrophales; Smithellaceae
Description: bacterial SSU rRNA
Rfam family: Bacterial small subunit ribosomal RNA
Source: RNAcentral
AGACAGUGCUGCAUGGCUGUCGUCAGCUCGUGUCGUGAGAUGUUGGGUUAAGUCCCGCAACGAGCGCAACCCUUGUCUUUAAUUGCCAGCAUUCAGUUGGGCACUUUAAAGAGACUGCCGGUGUUAAGCCGGAGGAAGGUGGGAUGACGUCAAGUCCUCAUGGCCUUUAUGCCCAGGGCUACACACGUGCUACAAUGGGUGGUACAAAGAGAUGCCAACUCGCGAGAGCGCGCCAAUCUCAGAAAGCCAUCCUCAGUUCGGAUUGGAGUCUGCAACUCGACUCCAUGAAGUUGGAAUCGCUAGUAAUCGCGGAUCAGCACGCCGCGGUGAAUACGUUCCCGGGCCUU